AUGGAUAAACAAUUGUUUUGAUUAGUGAAGUAACAAUAAUUAGUACUCGUUUAGUGAAGUAACAAUAAUCAGCACCCGUAUUUUGAUACAAAUAUAUACAAUUUGGCAUGGACUUGAGGGUAUGUUCACUAUACAUGUCUUGUAUCUGUAUUAAGUCCUUCAAAAUUCCCUUCUUUGCUGCAGGAAUGGUGCCUUUUCUUUUCUUAUCCAUAACUAUGGGAUUCGUGGAGACAAGUCUCUCUUAAUUUAUUGGUUUGAAGGCACUCGUGAAAGUUUAAGAAGGAUCAUUCAACAUUGUCGAGGCUGGAAAGAGGCACCUCUUGUUGGUUGAGAGUGAGUUGUGAAUUCUGGUGAUAAGGCGAAUGAUCUUUAAUCUAAGAUAUGGGGAAUAUAGAUCUGGAUAGAGCUGUUAUCGUUCUCAAAUACCUUCUUGGCCAUUACAGCGGCACCUGAUUCCCAUCUUGGGUAGCUCCUGCUUGAACUUUUUAAUUUACUUCGAAAUUUUCUGAAGCAUUUGACCAUUGAGUCUUUUAUAGUGAUAUCACUUUCUUUAGUCUCUUGGCCAUUGGUUAACGAUAACUAACAUGUCCUUUGAGAAGUUUUUAUUGAAUUACUUAUUUGACCAUUGAUCACCUUACAGAGUCAGACCCUUUUUAGAUAUUCAAAUGAAAGUGAAUUUUGGAAGGUCUACAUUCAG
Phoenix dactylifera (date palm) is the source of this 697-nucleotide non-coding RNA. NCBI's taxonomy places the organism in Eukaryota, Viridiplantae, Streptophyta, Magnoliopsida, Arecales, Arecaceae. The record is from RefSeq and is a predicted model, not a curated record.